RNAcentral lists this ribosomal RNA (460 nucleotides) under uncultured bacterium. RNAcentral describes it as "partial 16S ribosomal RNA". It matches the Rfam family "Bacterial small subunit ribosomal RNA", at positions 338 to 795 of the family's 1533-position model. The record is from RNAcentral.
CCUACGGGAGGCUGCAGUGAGGAAUAUUGGUCAAUGGGCGUAAGCCUGAACCAGCCAAGUCGCGUGAGGGAUGACGGUUCUAUGGGUCGUAAACCUCUUUUAUAAGGGAAUAAAGUGUGGGACGUGUCCUGUUUUGUAUGUACCUUAUGAAUAAGGAUCGGCUAACUCCGUGCCAGCAGCCGCGGUAAUACGGAGGAUCCGAGCGUUAUCCGGAUUUAUUGGGUUUAAAGGGUGCGUAGGCGGCUUUUUAAGUCAGCGGUGAAAGUCUGUGGCUCAACCAUAGAUUUGCCGUUGAAACUGGGAGGCUUGAGUAUGUUCGAGGCAGGCGGAAUGCGUGGUGUAGCGGUGAAAUGCUUAGAUAUAACGCAGAACUCCGAUAGCGAAGGCAGCCUGCCAGGCCAUGACUGACGCUGAUGCACGAAAGCGUGGGGAUCAAACAGGAUUAGAUACCCGGGUAGUC